GACGAACGCUGGCGGCGUGCUUAACACAUGCAAGUCGAACGGUAAGGCCCUUCGGGGUACACGAGUGGCGAACGGGUGAGUAACACGUGGGUGAUCUGCCCUGCACUUCGGGAUAAGCCUGGGAAACUGGGUCUAAUACCGGAUAGGACCCUGGGAUGCAUGUCCUGGGGUGGAAAGCUUUUGCGGUGUGGGAUGGGCCCGCGGCCUAUCAGCUUGUUGGUGGGGUGAUGGCCUACCAAGGCGACGACGGGUAGCCGGCCUGAGAGGGUGACCGGCCACACUGGGACUGAGAUACGGCCCAGACUCCUACGGGAGGCAGCAGUGGGGAAUAUUGCGCAAUGGGCGCAAGCCUGAUGCAGCGACGCCGCGUGAGGGAUGACGGCCUUCGGGUUGUAAACCUCUUUCAGCACCGACGAAGCGCAAGUGACGGUAGGCGCAGAAGAAGGAUCGGCCAACUACGUGCCAGCCGCCGCCGUAA
This 478-nucleotide ribosomal RNA is filed under the name uncultured bacterium. RNAcentral describes it as "partial 16S ribosomal RNA". It matches the Rfam family "Bacterial small subunit ribosomal RNA", at positions 28 to 523 of the family's 1533-position model. The record is from RNAcentral.